This 73-nucleotide transfer RNA is filed under the name Rozella allomycis CSF55. Its description in RNAcentral is "tRNA-Pro (GGG) (tRNA-Pro-GGG-1-1)". It matches the Rfam family "tRNA". From Rfam's summary of the family: Transfer RNA (tRNA) molecules are approximately 80 nucleotides in length. Their secondary structure includes four short double-helical elements and three loops (D, anti-codon, and T loops). The record is from RNAcentral. Lineage: Eukaryota; Fungi; Rozellomycota.
GGCUUUGUUGUCUAAUGGUAUGAUUCUCGCUUGGGGGUGUGAGAGGUCCCGAGUUCGAUUCUCGGCGGAGCCC